ACGGCUCAGUAACACGUAGUCAAUCUAACCUAUGGACGGGGAUAACCUCGGGAAACUGAGGAUAAAACCCGAUAGAUCAUUAUACCUGGAACGGUUUAUGGUCCAAAUGAUUCGUCGCCGUAGGAUGGGACUGCGGCCUAUCAGCUUGUUGGUGAGGUAAUGGCCCACCAAGGCUAUUACAGGUACGGGCUCUGAGAGGAGAAGCCCGGAGAUGGGUACUGAGACACGGACCCAGGCCCUAUGGGGCGCAGCAGGCGAGAAACCUUUGCAAUGUGCGCAAGCACGACAAGGUUAAUCCGAGUGUUUCCUGCUAAAGGAAUCUUUUGUUAGUUGUAAAACCACUGAUGAAUAAGGGGUGGGCAAGUUCUGGUGUCAGCCGCCGCGGUAAAACCAGCACCUCAAGUGGUCAGGAGGAUUAUUGGGCCUAAAGCGUCCGUAGCCUGUUCUGUAAGUUUCCGGUUAAAUCCAUUAGCUCAACUAAUGGGCCGCCGAAAAUACUGCAGAACUAGGGAGUGGGAGAGGUAGACGGUACUCGGUAGGAAGGGGUAAAAUCCUUUGAUCUAUUGAUGACCACCUGUGGCGAAGGCGGUCUACCAGAACACGUUCGACGGUGAGGGAUGAAAGCUGGGGGAGCAAACCGGAUUAGAUACCCGGGUAGUCCCAGCUGUAAACGAUGCAGACUCGGUGAUGCGCUGGCUUGUGGCCAGUGCAGUGCCGCAGGGAAGCCGUUAAGUUUGCCGCCUGGGAAGUACGUACGCAAGUAUGAAACUUAAAGGAAUUGGCGGGGGAGCACCACAAGGGGUGAAGCCUGCGGUUC
This 817-nucleotide ribosomal RNA is filed under the name uncultured archaeon. Its description in RNAcentral is "bacterial SSU rRNA". It matches the Rfam family "Archaeal small subunit ribosomal RNA", at positions 85 to 903 of the family's 1478-position model. The record is from RNAcentral.